CCUGGAGAGGUGUCAUUGUGGAAUAAUUGUAUCGUCUGUUGCAAGAUUGUGAGAUGACAGAACGCUGACCUUGUCAUAGCAGCAAAGUGGCAGAGGAAGAUAAGUUUAGACGAUUUUGAUGACAAAGAAAAAUACAGUGCUCGUCUUCACUCUUCUCCAAAACUGUGUGUAGGUCCAUGUACCUGGGUCCCUCACCGACAUGGAGCUGAGGAAUGCAGGCUCGGUGUGCAUGUUCUCCUGCGGACAGAGCUGCAGCGUUUCUCUAACCAGUGGCAGGCAGAGCCCUGCACAGAGCAGCAUGCCGAGGAUUUAUCGACCCAUUGCUCGCCAGCCAAACGAGAGAAGCCAUUAAUCAGUCCUCAGGAGGAGGAUGAUCCAGGACAGCACUGUUUUUCUUGUGGGCUUGUCUUUCCCGCAAAACCUUAUCCUUCCUCAGUCUGAUGUAGAAGAGGAUUCUGAACCCUAAGAUGUAGCCAGCACAGGUUAUUUAGUGUUGUUUCUCAAAGCUGAAAUCCCCUUAAACCAGUAUUUUGGUACCUGAUCAGUUUGUUUUAGUAUUAGUUUUAGACAUUAGACAAGUUUUAAGCUAGUUUUAGUCAACGACAUUUUUAAGUGGGUAUGUCAAAAGUUAGUUUAAUUUUCAUCACAUAUUUUAAA
Long non-coding RNA from Micropterus dolomieu (smallmouth bass), 657 nucleotides. RefSeq lists it as uncharacterized. The record is from RefSeq and is a predicted model, not a curated record. The transcript is spliced from 3 exons. NCBI's taxonomy places the organism in Eukaryota, Metazoa, Chordata, Actinopteri, Centrarchiformes, Centrarchidae.